This 2974-nucleotide long non-coding RNA is filed under the name Medicago truncatula (barrel medic). RNAcentral describes it as "long non-coding RNA (MTRU_LNC001234)". The record is from RNAcentral. Lineage: Eukaryota; Viridiplantae; Streptophyta; Magnoliopsida; Fabales; Fabaceae.
UUUUCUCUCUUCUCCGGCGAGCGAUGGCAACGACAGAAUCGGAUCUUGAUGAGUUUUUGAAUCUCGAUUAUGAGUUUCGGUAUCCAAGUCUUGCCGAUACGGAGGCUUUCAUGACCGGAGUUUGCUCCGCCGCUUUCCAAACUCUUCUUCUACCGGUAAACUCUUCUCUCUUUCAAUCAAUUUUUGUUUAUUAAUUCUGAAACUGAAAUUAAUGUUUUGUCACCUCUGAUGACGUGGAAUCCUACCAUGCAUGCAGUUUGUGUGAGGAUCGCUCAACGCUUACUUAACAGGAAAUAACAAGAACAAACUUUACAACUAUGUCUUAAAAUAAAACAAAAGUGACGAUUUUUCCAAUAAAAUAAGUUAAUUGUUUUUGAAAUGAUUUAUAAUCGUUCUACAUCAGAUUUAGGAUUGAGACGUAUGAGAGAAAGGAAGGCAUUAGAAAUUUUGCUAAGUAUGAAAAAAAAUAGUUUGUGGACAUAUUGGGGAGUUAAGAAGAGGGUAAGUGAAAAAGGUCCUCAUGUUGAAUGAAUGUGGUGGGUUGCUUCCUUAUGAAGAAUUUUUGUGAGCAAAAAGACUUGGUAACUUGUGUGAACGCAAUGACUUUGGUGUGUGGGCCUUUUUUUUUAUUAAUGUCUUGCUCUCUCUCUUUUGGAGUUGGACCCAAUGUCUUCAAUCCAUAAUAGUACAGUUCCAGCCAGCACCAACAAUCUUGUCUUUAUUUCUUAAUUAAGAUUAGUUAUAAUAAUAAUAUUAGUGGUGGGAAUCGAAUCCUACACAAGAUUAAUAUUAUUUGCAUUCGGUUUACUUUAAAUUCACGCACCCGGUGGAUUGGUGGAACUGAGAAUUAUAAAGAUGACUAGUACUAAUUUUAAGGUCGUAUUAAAAAAUAUUUUGUGAAAUAUUCGAGUUAGUGAAUCAUUUUCCAAGCUAUUAGUCGUACAAAUAUUUCCCUCAAAUGAAAAAGAGUCUGCUCCACCCGACUGAACUUGCACGUGACUCUUCAAAUGAAUAAAGGAAAAUGAAUUUAUUGGCUAAGAGAAGAGCUACUAUAAUAUUAAGCAACGUUUAUAUCUCUCGUUAGUUCAGAAGAAGAGAUACCAAUCAAUCAAUUUAUAUUAGUUUUAGAACUUAGAACAUUAUCAACCUAAGUUACAUUUAAAGAAUUGUGUAUAAUUUACCCACAUGAUGUGAGACCAAUAAAAAUUAUCCACGAGAGAUGAUUUAUUGGCUAACAUAUUUUACUUAUAAUAUGACAAUUGUUAGAGAGUAGGGAGAGAGGGGUUAAAUUUCAAAAUAACAAAAGGUAUAUGUAAAAUUUUGUCAAAUACUUUAUAAGUUUGACAUAGAUAGUAGACUACAAGUGAAUAAUUUUCAUUGAUGCCACAUCAUGUUGGGGUAAAUUAUUCACUAUUGUUCAAAACUAUUGAGAGAAAACCUUAGAACCAGCAUCAAUGGUCCGCGCUAUUUUAUUUUCUGUCCUUUAUUACCUUUGCUCAUAAACAUCUCCGAUGUUUACCUUCUUUAUUUAAGAAGGUCUUGUAGUUUUUCUUUAGCAAUACAUAUACUUGUGAAAAUAAAAAAUAAACAGGGACCCAUUUUUAUUUCCAAGGUUUUCUUUUAUCAUCUUCACUUUAACUAAUAAACAUGAAGUAAAUAGAUCCUUCUUAAAAAAAAUUGAAAUAAAUAGAUCCAACAGUUUUCGUAUAGUUUCCUUUUACAAUUUUUGAAAAUAGAUCUAGCAUUUUAAGAAAUUUUGAAAAUGUCAAAACAUUGUUCUUAUUAUUUUUUGAAAACGCAUUCUUAUCACAAUUAUUUGCUACGCAAAUCUUUCAUCUUCAAUUUAAUAAAAAAUAAAUAAAAAUCUUUCAUCUUCAACUUAAAAUAAACAUAAAUUUUGUUGAGUAAAAUAAGAAAUGUGUUCCAAACGUAAACCGGUCGUAGUUUUUUUUUUAAGAGUAAACGGAUCCUAGUUAUUGUCAUGUAGAAAGAAGCUAAGUACACAUAUAAGUUAUAACCAAUAAUUUAUUGUCUUUAUUAUUUACUAGGUUUAUCAUUUUUUUGGUAGAACUAUGUUCACCAUCUUUUGUUGUUAAUAAUUAAUCUCGAUAGAAAAAGAAAAAAAAAAGAGUUUGAUUUUGAUAUGUUGUUAAUGGAGAAAGUUUUAUACCAUCCGUAAAUCGCAAUAUAUUAUACAUAUGACUUUAUAAGAAGCUAUAAUUAAAGUCAAAUAUUUUUGUACUAAUCGUAUUAAUAUCAAAUAUAUUUUUUUGGUACGAAAUGAAGAGGAUAUAUUUCAUAAAUUUGAGACAACUUCUCAAUUGGUCCCCAAUAUGGAGGAGGUUUACCAAAAACUCGCUAUUGGUAGUGUAUUUUACUACAAAUUUGAGCAAUAUAGAGACAUAUUGUGAGACUGUCUAAACUUUUUUUUUUUUUUUCAAACUGUCUAAACUUGAUCCAACUGAACUUGAAAAAUCCUACCAUCCUUUGAAAUAUACUACAUGGUUGCACAAACAAAGAAAAACUAUAUGGUUGGUAAAAAAACAUUUGAACACAUCAUUUAAUUAUUUUAAAAAUACACGUUAUUUAAUCAUUUGCUCUUUCUAUUUUUUCUUAAGCAUGUGAACAUGCAAGACUUCGUCCCAUUCCCAUCAUUUAUUUAUAAAGUACUCCUAAAUCCUAAUACUACCGCCACUAUCUGCGUGGACCCGUUUUAAAAUUUGCGGUUUGAUGAAGUGAUAUAUACUUUGUUAGAUACAUGCGUAGUUUAUGAUCUAUAGUGUAUGCUGAAGAGUAAAAAAAAGAUUGAUGUAACAACAGCUACAGCCCUCAAGAAGAAUUUAUUUUAGAAUACGAUCAAAAUGUUAGUUCCAGCUUAUGCAACCUUUUCAUGAUUGAAUUGCAGGAUGUUGUGAGUUCAUUUUCAACUUGUGGUGGACUAACAAACUCCCAAAACUUUACUCCCAAACACUCC